RNAcentral lists this non-coding RNA (101 nucleotides) under Clostridium kluyveri. Its description in RNAcentral is "Guanine sequence". It matches the Rfam family "Purine riboswitch aptamer". Rfam says of the family: Riboswitches are metabolite binding domains within certain messenger RNAs that serve as precision sensors for their corresponding targets. Allosteric rearrangement of mRNA structure is mediated by ligand binding, and this results in modulation of gene expression. A class of riboswitches that selectively recognises guanine and becomes saturated at concentrations as low as 5 nM. Lineage: Bacteria; Bacillati; Bacillota; Clostridia; Eubacteriales; Clostridiaceae. The record is from RNAcentral. RNAcentral also lists the same sequence under 1 other name.
AUCAUAAACAAAUAAAGUAUCCAUAUAAUCCUAAUAAUGUGGUUUAGGAGUUUCUACAGGAAGCCGUAAAUUUCCCGUCUAUGGAUGAAUUCCUUUAAAGC